UACGGAGGGUGCAAGCGUCGUUCGGAAUCACUGGGCGUAAAGGGCGCGUAGGCGGUCCCACAAGUCCGAUGUGAAAGCCCGGGGCUCAACCCCGGAAGUGCAUUGGAAACUGUGGGACUUGAGUUCGGGAGAGGAAGGCAGAAUUCCCGGUGUAGGGUUGAAAUCCGUAGAUAUCGGGAGGAAAACCGGUGGCGAAGGCGGCCUUCUGGAACGAAACUGACGCUGAGGCGCGAAAGCGUGGGGAGCAAACAGG
This 253-nucleotide ribosomal RNA is filed under the name uncultured bacterium. RNAcentral describes it as "partial 16S ribosomal RNA". It matches the Rfam family "Bacterial small subunit ribosomal RNA", at positions 524 to 776 of the family's 1533-position model. The record is from RNAcentral.